ACUCAAAUGAAUUGACGGGGGCCCGCACAAGUGGUGGAGCAUGUGGUUUAAUUCGAAGCAACGCGAAGAACCUUACCAGGUCUUGACAUCCUCUGACAACCCUAGAGAUAGGGCUUUCCCUUCGGGGACAGAGUGACAGGUGGUGCAUGGUUGUCGUCAGCUCGUGUCGUGAGAUGUUGGGUUAAGUCCCGCAACGAGCGCAACCCUUGAUCUUAGUUGCCAGCAUUUAGUUGGGCACUCUAAGGUGACUGCCGGUGACAAACCGGAGGAAGGUGGGGAUGACGUCAAAUCAUCAUGCCCCUUAUGACCUGGGCUACACACGUGCUACAAUGGAUAGUACAAAGGGUUGCAAGACCGCGAGGUGGAGCUAAUCCCAUAAAACUAUUCUCAGUUCGGAUUGUAGGCUGCAACUCGCCUACAUGAAGCCGGAAUCACUAGUAAUCGCGGAUCAGCAUGCCGCGGUGAAUACGUUCCCGGGCCUUGUACACACCGCCCGU
Molecule: ribosomal RNA, 497 nt
Filed under: uncultured bacterium
Lineage: Bacteria
Description: bacterial SSU rRNA
Rfam family: Bacterial small subunit ribosomal RNA
Source: RNAcentral